Molecule: ribosomal RNA, 429 nt
Filed under: uncultured bacterium
Lineage: Bacteria
Description: bacterial SSU rRNA
Rfam family: Bacterial small subunit ribosomal RNA
Source: RNAcentral
UGGGGAAUUUUGGGCAAUGGCCGAAAGGCUGACCCAGCGACGCCGCGUGCGGGAUGACGCCUCUCGGGGUGUAAACCGCUGUCAGAGGGGAAGAAUAGCCGGGAUGCGAAUAGUUUCCCGGUGUGACGGUACCCUCAAAGGAAGCACCGGCUAACUCCGUGCCAGCAGCCGCGGUAAUACGGAGGGUGCAAGCGUUGUUCGGAUUUACUGGGCGUAAAGCGCGCGCAGGUGGAUGAACAAGUCGGAAGUGAAAUCUCGAGGCUCAACCUCGAGGCUGCUCCCGAAACUGUUCGUCUAGGGACUGGUAGAGGCUGGUAGAAUUCCCGGUGUAGCGGUGGAAUGCGUAGAGAUCGGGAAGAAUACCCGUGGCGAAGGCGGCCAGCUGGGCCAGGUCCGACACUGAGGCGCGAAAGCGUGGGGAGCAAACAG